Mastomys coucha (southern multimammate mouse) is the source of this 948-nucleotide long non-coding RNA. RefSeq lists it as uncharacterized. Lineage: Eukaryota; Metazoa; Chordata; Mammalia; Rodentia; Muridae. The record is from RefSeq and is a predicted model, not a curated record. The transcript is spliced from 4 exons.
GGCAAGGCUGCGUGGUUUGGAUUCUGCUCUGAUUCUGUUGAUGGCGUCAUAGCCACAAAGUGUAACUCAUAAUCCUUCAGGAGGGAUGAUAGCAGUGGACACUUCCCUUUUAAGGUGUCCUGGAAAUGAGGAGUUCAAAGCAGCCAUCUGGGUCUAAGGCACUGUUCAAGGACAGUGUCUUUCAAGGUUGUUUGAAUACCAGCAAGAUAAUUCAGCUGGCUUGCUCCUCACUGCCCUGCAUGCAUAUAGAUACUGGAGCCAAAUACAGGAAUCAGCACUGAACAUGGCAAGCUAAGGACCAUCCUGAGGAAGGUCAACUUUAGCUGCAACUGGGACACGUGGAGAGCUGGACAAGACCAACUGGUCCUUGAGAUGCAGAAACGAAUCAAACUGACAAGCUGAGAACCACUGGGCCUGGAGUUGGAGGCAAUGGAUGGACAUCUGUUGUUUUUGACAUUCAAUGCCAUUUUUUCCCUAAUGGGAUCUGCUUCUCUUCUGCUUGAACCCUGCUGUGGGAAUGGACCUGUCAAUCAUGAAUUCCUAUCCAAUCCUCAGGCCAUUGAGGCAUAUUUUUGAGAAGUUACCCCUGGGAGAAGGAAGGGGAAGUUGGCAUCAAGAACAAGUGGAAAAUGCUUGGCAAACACAUCAUCCCGUGUCCAUUCAUCUUCACCAGUGUACAGCUGCUCACCCUUUUCCCCAAGUCCAGCUCAAGGGAGGCCGGUGCUGGUGCAGCUCUCUCUGUGUUUACCCAGUGCCCGUGUAAAGAGAAAGCUCCCGGCAGAUUUUGUUCUUGUUGCUAAUAUUUGGAUCUCAUGCUAUUCUUUGCCUAUAAAGACUCCGAAGGCUGAGUCAGAGGGAUCUUCGCAACACAUUCAGAUAGGCAUUCCCAGCCUUUGGUCAUGGCUUUUAGAAACUUCAUAUGAGCAUAAUAAAAAUGGAUGAACUGGU